Long non-coding RNA from Cololabis saira (Pacific saury), 610 nucleotides. RefSeq lists it as uncharacterized. The transcript is spliced from 3 exons. NCBI's taxonomy places the organism in Eukaryota, Metazoa, Chordata, Actinopteri, Beloniformes, Belonidae. The record is from RefSeq and is a predicted model, not a curated record.
GAAGCAGGAUAGCGACCAAAUCACGCUGUGAGGUUAAGGAAGACGGCUGAAGAGAUUGAAGAGCUUUGAUGCAGAGGAAAGAACUACUUACACAAAGUAACAAGACCAGGAAACACAUACAAGGGUUUGGACAUGGGUUACCCAUAAUACCGCAUAGCUGUUGGUUACUGUAUGAAAUGCAUCAAAAGGAAAUGCCAAGAUUUUUUUCAGGGUGGGCCGAUCUCGUCUGCAGUGGCUGGACGUGAAUGUGACCCCAACAACUCCACGGCUAUUACCAGUCGCCAGCCAGCCCUCCUCAUAGUAGCGCUUUCUGCACACUGGUUUCUCCUUCUGACUCUUAGGUACCCGGCCCUUCCAGGACAGGCACAGGAUGUUGGAGUCACUACAGAGCACCGGACCAUGCUCCACAGCAGCAAACAUCACUGCUGCUCUACUGCUUUCUAUUCCACCUGAACAAGAACAAAAGAUCCAGAAGAUGGUUCUUUGUAGGAGUUUACGUAUAUCUACGGACACCUCUCUCUGCUGAAGUUAAUGAUUUGGUGUUGAAUGAGAGACUGACACAAUGCUGCAUAGUACUUGCACUUUCCCUUGACUCCUUGAUCUGCAACAG